Molecule: ribosomal RNA, 301 nt
Filed under: uncultured bacterium
Lineage: Bacteria
Description: partial 16S ribosomal RNA
Rfam family: Bacterial small subunit ribosomal RNA
Source: RNAcentral
CAGCCGCCACGGUAAUACAGAGGAUGCAAGCGUUAUCCGGAAUGAUUGGGCGUAAAGCGUCUGUAGGUGGCUUUUCAAGUCCGCCGUCAAAUCCCAGGGCUCAACCCUGGACAGGCGGUGGAAACUACCAAGCUGGAGUACGGUAGGGGCAGAGGGAAUUUCCGGUGGAGCGGUGAGAUGCGUUGAGAUCGGAAAGAACACCAACGGCGAAAGCACUCUACUGGGCCGACACUGACACUGAGAGACGAAAGCUAGGGGAGCAAAUGGGAUUAGAUACCCGUGUAGUCCCUGUCUCUUAUAC